Molecule: ribosomal RNA, 462 nt
Filed under: uncultured bacterium
Lineage: Bacteria
Description: partial 16S ribosomal RNA
Rfam family: Bacterial small subunit ribosomal RNA
Source: RNAcentral
GAUGAACGCUGACAGAAUGCUUAACACAUGCAAGUCUUUGGCGAAGCUGUGCUUGCACAGCCUAGCCAAGGCGGACGGGUGAGUAACGCGUAAGGAACUUGCCCUGCAGUCAGGGAUAACAGACGGAAACGACUGAUAAGACCUGGUAAAGUCAGGCGGACUCAUGUCCAGCCUGAUGAAAAGAGAUGCUGCAGGAGAGCCUUGCGUCCUAUUAGCUUGUUGGUGGGGUAACGGCCCACCAAGGCGAUGAUAGGUAGCCGGCCUGAGAGGGUGGACGGCCACAAGGGGACUGAGAUACGGGCCUUACUCCUACGGGAGGCAGCAGUGGGGAAUAUUGGACAAUGGGGGCAACCCUGAUCCAGCAAUUCUGUGUGCACGAUGAAGGUUUUCGGAUUGUAAAGUGCUUUCAGCAGGGAAGAAAAAAAUGACGGUACCUGCAGAAGAAGCGACGGCUAAAUACGU